RNAcentral lists this ribosomal RNA (94 nucleotides) under Staphylococcus chromogenes. Its description in RNAcentral is "partial 16S ribosomal RNA". It matches the Rfam family "Bacterial small subunit ribosomal RNA", at positions 1447 to 1533 of the family's 1533-position model. Lineage: Bacteria; Bacillati; Bacillota; Bacilli; Caryophanales; Staphylococcaceae. The record is from RNAcentral.
AGCUAGCCGUCGAAGGUGGGACAAAUGAUUAGGGUGAAGUCGUAACAAGGUAGCCGUAUCGGAAGGUGCGGCUGGAUCACCUCCUUUCUAAGGA